RNAcentral lists this ribosomal RNA (516 nucleotides) under uncultured bacterium. Its description in RNAcentral is "partial 16S ribosomal RNA". It matches the Rfam family "Bacterial small subunit ribosomal RNA", at positions 28 to 523 of the family's 1533-position model. The record is from RNAcentral.
GACGAACGCUGGCGGCAUGCCUAAUACAUGCAAGUCGAGCGGAGUUGACAGAAAGCUUGCUUUCUUGAUACUUAGCGGCGGACGGGUGAGUAACACGUAGGCAACCUGCCCUCAAGCUUGGGACAACUACCGGAAACGGUAGCUAAUACCGAAUACUUGUUUUCUUUGCCUGAAGGAAACUGGAAAGACGGAGCAAUCUGUCACUUGGCGAUGGGCCUGCGGCGCAUUAGCUAGUUGGUGAGGUAAGGGAUCACCAAGGCGACGAUGCGUAGCCGACCUGAGAGGGUGAUCGGCCACACUGGGACUGAGACACGGCCCAGACUCCUACGGGAGGCAGCAGUAGGGAAUCUUCCGCAAUGGGCGAAAGCCUGACGGAGCAAUGCCGCGUGAGUGAUGAAGGUUUUCGGAUCGUAAAGCUCUGUUGCCAGGGAAGAACGCUUGGGAGAGUAACUGCUCCCAAGGUGACGGUACCUGAGAAGAAAGCCCCGGCUAACUACGUGCCAGCCGCCGCCGUAA